AAAUUUUUUAUGCAUUGUGGGCGGUAUGGAAAUACGCAUACCAUAUACAGUGAUUGAUUCACGCACGAAACUCACAUGUGAUGUGCAAAUAAAUUAUUUUUUACUAACUUUAUGUAAAAAUUAAUCAUCGCGGAUGGUGCAUGCGGUUAUGCACCAUCCACGGUGCACAAAGAAUUUCACCAAGCGAAAGAUAUCAAAAAUGCAGACAAGCCAGGUGGCCCAUCCAAUCCACUGGGCCACAAAGAAUUUCACCAAGCGAGAGAUAUCUGAAAUGCAGACAAGCCAGGUGGCCCAUCCAAUCCACCGGGCCCAGCCCAAAAGUUAAUCAGUUUGGGCAUGAAAUAUUGGCCUAUGGUGUGGACCUGGGCAAAAGAAUACGCCCGAUCUAAAAAUUGAGCCGGACCUGAGAAAAUGAAAAAAAAAAUGACCCACCUUGAGAUUAUAUCUAUAUAUUAUAGAUAUAUGAUAAGUAUAAUAACUAAUUAUAUAUUAUAAUGACAUAAUAAUAUAUUAUAUAGAUAAUAAACUAAUUAGUUUCACAUAUAUAAAUAGAGGAAACUAAUAGUUAAUAAACCAUUAUAUAGAUGCUUUUUUGCACAACAAAAUUAUAUUGCGCUCAACCGAUAAUAAUGGGGGGAAAGAGAAAAUCAGCUUGAGCCUACCCCAACCCAGCGCUUGAUCAGUUCUAUUAAAAAAAAAUUAUAUAUUAUCAGUACUAUAUUAUAAAUAUAAUAUUCUAUAAAUAUUUAAAAGAUUUAAAUAUGUAUAAUGUAAGUUAAAUUUGUUUCAAUAUUCAUAACAUUAUUAACCGCUACAAAUACUGUUGUGUGAAAAACAAUAAAUGAAAACAUG
RNAcentral lists this long non-coding RNA (852 nucleotides) under Elaeis guineensis (African oil palm). Its description in RNAcentral is "long non-coding RNA (EGUI_LNC011120)". Lineage: Eukaryota; Viridiplantae; Streptophyta; Magnoliopsida; Arecales; Arecaceae. The record is from RNAcentral.